This is a long non-coding RNA of Gambusia affinis (western mosquitofish), 559 nucleotides long. RefSeq lists it as uncharacterized. The transcript has 2 exons. The record is from RefSeq and is a predicted model, not a curated record. Lineage: Eukaryota; Metazoa; Chordata; Actinopteri; Cyprinodontiformes; Poeciliidae.
CCGUAUUCUGGGAGCAUCGAAUCAAUAAGAGUCAGUGGGUCAAUGCAUUUCGAGGAAUCAACAAUGUCUGUUCGUCCUGACAGCUCAGGAAUAAAAUGAACAGCUACCAGACAGGACUCUGUGGUGUCUGGAGCUUCCCUGCCUGUCUGCCUGCCUUGCGGAGCUGUUAUGCUCUGUUAAAUCGGCACAUAUUGUACUGGCUGAUGAAUGACAGAUGUUUUAUUCAUGGAGGAAAGAUAGUGUACAUUCUUUGAAGCACAUUCCAGGUUUCAUGAAGAGGGUACAGGAUGGGGGCAGACGGUUUGAAAGGAAAGAAGACUGCCUAAAUUCACCAUUUCAGCCAUUCCUGCCUGCAGAUGAAAAGGUGAUUCUGACAGUCUGUUGAUGCUUCAGUCUCAUAUCUGGGCAAACCCAUCCCCAGCAAAUUAUGUCUUGAUCUGUGUCUCGAAGAAUGUUUCAGACCGCAUUCCUUACGCACACCUGGGAUAUCUGACUGGAGCUCUGAUGAAACAAAUACUGGAAGAACAAAUACAGUACAAUGCAUUUCUUACCCCUUGAA